Molecule: ribosomal RNA, 411 nt
Filed under: uncultured bacterium
Lineage: Bacteria
Description: bacterial SSU rRNA
Rfam family: Bacterial small subunit ribosomal RNA
Source: RNAcentral
AAUGGGCGAAAGCCUGACGCAGCGACGCCGCGUGAGGGAUGAAGGUUCUCGGAUCGUAAACCUCUGUCAGGGGGGAAGAAACCCCCUCGUGUGAAUAAUGCGAGGGCUUGACGGUACCCCCAAAGGAAGCACCGGCUAACUCCGUGCCAGCAGCCGCGGUAAUACGGAGGGUGCAAGCGUUAAUCGGAAUUACUGGGCGUAAAGCGCACGUAGGCUGUAGUGUAAGUCAGGGGUGAAAUCCCACGGCUCACCCGUGGAACUGCCUUUGAUACUGCACAACUUGAAUCCGGGAGAGGGUGGCGGAAUUCCAGGUGUAGGAGUGAAAUCCGUAGAUAUCUGGAGGAACACCGGUGGCGAAGGCGGCCACCUGGACGGUAACUGACGCUGAGGUGCGAAAGCGUGGGUAGCAAA